GACCUCGGAUCAGGUAGGAAUACCCGCUGAACUUAAGCAUAUCAAUAAGCGGA
RNAcentral lists this ribosomal RNA (53 nucleotides) under fungal sp. 5507. RNAcentral's name for it is "partial 28S ribosomal RNA". Lineage: Eukaryota; Fungi. The record is from RNAcentral.